This 233-nucleotide small RNA is filed under the name Arabidopsis thaliana (thale cress). Its description in RNAcentral is "ATSL258450". Lineage: Eukaryota; Viridiplantae; Streptophyta; Magnoliopsida; Brassicales; Brassicaceae. The record is from RNAcentral.
UGCUUGAAUCAAUCAUCAUACUCUUUCGUACUUCUCCAUACUCUUCUUAGUGCAUAGCUCAAUUUCAAAUCUCCAACUAUUAGCAAAGACUCACAAUCAAGUUGAAACAUCUCUUUAACAUUCAUUUAAGUGUUUGGCGCGGUCUCGCAAAUGGAAGAUAAAUCAUUCUCAAUCGGUCUUGGUGAAGGCUUUUGGAGGUGGUUUCAAAAGAUUUACAUUUUGGUGGGUUUCUC